Molecule: unclassified non-coding RNA, 304 nt
Filed under: fungal sp.
Lineage: Eukaryota; Fungi
Description: partial internal transcribed spacer region
Rfam family: Eukaryotic small subunit ribosomal RNA (bases 1-46)
Source: RNAcentral
AAGUCGUAACAAGGUAACCGUAGGUGAACCUGCGGUUGGAUCAUUAACAAAUUUAUGAUCGGGAUCAAUUUGGGUUUCUGGAGUGACUGGAUUAGGUUCCUCCUCCCGAGCCCAUCUUUGACCCACAACCCCAACAUUUUUGUGAACUGUCUUAUCCUUUGUCUGGCUAUGGUGGGGAACCCUGGUUCCUGCCAUUGUGCAGGCAAUACCAACCUUAUCUUUAUUUGUCACAACCAUGGAUACCCAUCCAUACACAAUUUCUUUGACAAAGAAACAACUUUUGGCAACGGAUCUCUUGGCUCUC